Molecule: ribosomal RNA, 481 nt
Filed under: uncultured bacterium
Lineage: Bacteria
Description: partial 16S ribosomal RNA
Rfam family: Bacterial small subunit ribosomal RNA
Source: RNAcentral
AUUGAACGCUGGCGGCAUGCCUUGCACAUGCAAGUCGAACGGUAACAGGUCUUCGGAUGCUGACGAGUGGCGAACGGGUGAGUAAUACAUCGGAACGUGCCCAGACGUGGGGGAUAACGAGGCGAAAGCUUUGCUAAUACCGCAUACGAUCUAAGGAUGAAAGCAGGGGACCGCAAGGCCUUGCGCGUUUGGAGCGGCCGAUGGCAGAUUAGGUAGUUGGUGGGAUAAAAGCUUACCAAGCCGACGAUCUGUAGCUGGUCUGAGAGGACGACCAGCACACUGGGACUGAGACACGGCCCAGACUCCUACGGGAGGCAGCGGUGGGGAAUUUUGGACAAUGGGCGAAAGCCUGAUCCAGCAAUGCCGCGUGCAGGAUGAAGGCCUUCGGGUUGUAAACUGCUUUUGUACGGAACGAAAAGGCUCUGGCUAAUACCUGGGGCACAUGACGGUACCGUAAGAAUAAGCACCGGCUAACUACGUG